AUACUUUAAAUCCUUUGCCGAGGAUCGAUUGGAGGGCAAGUUUGGUGCCAGCAGCCGCGGUAAUUCCAGCUCCAAUAGCGUAUAUUAAUACUGUUGCAGUUAAAAAGCUUGUAGUUGGAUUUUGGGUCCAGGCGCGGGGGGAGCGAUUUAAUUGCGGUCCCUAUCCGGGUAUCCUGGUUUCCUGUAGCUACGUGUCCCCUGAUGAUUUUUGCCGAUUUGUCUAUGGCGCGAAGCUCGUUUACUUUGAAAAAAUUAGAGUGUUCAAAGCAGGCCUAAACCACGUAGCCUGAAUAAAUGUGCAUGGAAUAAUAGAAGAGGACCUCUGUUCCUUCUUUUGUUGGUUUCCGGAAUAUGAGGUAAUGAUUAAAAGGAGCAGCCGGGGGCAUCUGUACUACUGCGUUAGAGGUGAAAUUCUUGGAUCGCAGUAUGACAAACUACAGCGAAAGCAUUUGCCAAGUAUGUUUUCAUUAAUCAAGAACGAAAGUCAGAGGUUCGAAGACGAUCAGAUACCGUCGUAGUUCUGACCCUAAACGAUGCCGACUAGACGUGUGCUGACGUGUUUUUUCAAUACCCAUUUGAAAAACGUACCAACUCAGCACGCUUCUUCCGGGAAACCAAAGUUUAUGGGUUCUGGGGGAAGUAUGGUUGCAAAGCUGAAACUUAAAGGAAUUGACGGAAGGGCACCACCAGGAGUGGAGCCUGCGGCUUAAUUUGACUCAACACGGGAAAACUCACCCGGUCCGGACACCGUAAGGAUUGACAGACUCAAAGCUCUUUCUUGAUUCGGUGGGUGGUGGUGCAUGGCCGUUCUUAGUUGGUGGAGCGAUCUGUCUGGUUUAUUCCGAUAACGAACGAGACUCUCGCCUGCUUUUUAGAAUUCGCAUUCUGUAUAGUGUGCGCUACUUCUUCUUAGAGGGACAGGUGGCGAUUAGCCGCAUGAAACCGAGAGCAAUAACAGGUCUGUGAUGCCCUUAGAUGUCCGGGGCCGCACGCGCGCUACAAUGAUUAAAUCAAUUGGCUCCAGCCCCGAGAGGGGAGUGGUACUCCGUUGAACCUUAAUCUUGAUAGGGAUUGUGGCUUGUAACUAUUCCACAUGAACGAGGAAUUCCUAGUAAGCGCUUGUCAUCACCAAGCGUUGAUUACGUCCCUGCCCUUUGUACACACCGCCCGUCGCUACUACCGAUUAGGUGGUUUAGUGAAGUCUUCGGACUAGGUAUAUAAGCAUGCAAGUGCCGAAAACCUACAAAGCAGCCUAAACUUGAUCAUCUAGAGGAAGUAAAAGUCGUAACAAGGUUUCCGUAGGUGAACCUG
RNAcentral lists this ribosomal RNA (1311 nucleotides) under Trichobranchus roseus. Its description in RNAcentral is "SSU rRNA". It matches the Rfam family "Eukaryotic small subunit ribosomal RNA", at positions 520 to 1817 of the family's 1831-position model. Lineage: Eukaryota; Metazoa; Annelida; Polychaeta; Terebellida; Trichobranchidae. The record is from RNAcentral.